CACGUAGGGGGCAAGCGUUGUCCGGAAUUAUUGGGCGUAAAGAGCUCGUAGGCGGCUCGGUAAGUCGGGUGUCAAAUCCUCAGGCUCAACCUGGGGCUCCACCCGAUACUGCUGUGGCUAGAGUCCGGUAGGGGAGCGUGGAAUUCCUGGUGUAGCGGUGAAAUGCGCAGAUAUCAGGAGGAACACCAAUGGCGAAGGCAGCACUCUGGGACGUGACUGACGCUGAGACGCGAAAGCGUGGGGAGCAAACAGG
RNAcentral lists this ribosomal RNA (253 nucleotides) under uncultured bacterium. RNAcentral's name for it is "partial 16S ribosomal RNA". It matches the Rfam family "Bacterial small subunit ribosomal RNA", at positions 524 to 776 of the family's 1533-position model. The record is from RNAcentral.